GAUGAACGCUAGCGAUAGGCCUAACACAUGCAAGUCGAGGGGCAUCACAUGAAGUAGCAAUACGGAUGGUGGCGACCGGCGCACGGGUGAGUAACACGUAUGCAACCUGCCUUCAACAAGGGGAUAACCCGUUGAAAGACGGACUAAUACCCCUAUAACACAGGGGUCCCGCAUGGGAAUAUUUGUUAAAGGACAACCGGUUGAAGAUGGGCAUGCGUUCCAUUAGCUAGUUGGCGGGUAACGGCCCACCAAGGCAACGAUGGAUAGGGGAACUGAGAGGUUUAUCCCCCACACUGGUACUGAGACACGGACCAGACUCCUACGGGAGGCAGCAGUGAGGAAUAUUGGUCAAUGGACGCAAGUCUGAACCAGCCACGUCGCGUGAAGGAAGACGGCCCUACGGGUUGUAAACUUCUUUUGUAAGGGAAUAAAGUGUAGUACGCGUACUAUUUUGCAUGUACCUUACGAAUAAGGAUCGGCUAACUCCGUG
This 490-nucleotide ribosomal RNA is filed under the name uncultured bacterium. RNAcentral's name for it is "bacterial SSU rRNA". It matches the Rfam family "Bacterial small subunit ribosomal RNA", at positions 28 to 507 of the family's 1533-position model. The record is from RNAcentral.